UCGACGAUGAAUCUUCUAGCUUGCUAGAAGUGGAUUAGUGGCGCACGGGUGAGUAAUGCAUAGGUUAUGUGCCCUUUAGUCUGGGAUAGCCACUGGAAACGGUGAUUAAUACUGGAUACUCCCUACGGGGGAAAGUUUUUCGCUAAAGGAUCAGCCUAUGUCCUAUCAGCUUGUUGGUGAGGUAAUGGCUCACCAAGGCUAUGACGGGUAUCCGGCCUGAGAGGGUGAUCGGACACACUGGAACUGAGACACGGUCCAGACUCCUACGGGAGGCAGCAGUAGGGAAUAUUGCUCAAUGGGGGAAACCCUGAAGCAGCAACGCCGCGUGGAGGAUGAAGGUUUUAGGAUUGUAAACUCCUUUUGUUAGAGAAGAUUAUGACGGUAUCUAACGAAUAAGCACCGGCUAACUCCGUGCCAGCAGCCGCGGUAAUACGGAGGGUGCAAGCGUUACUCGGAAUCACUGGGCGUAAAGAGUGCGUAGGCGGGGUAAUAAGUCAGAUGUGAAAUCCUGUAGCUUAACUACAGAACUGCAUUUGAAACUGUUACUCUGGAGUGUGGGAGAGGUAGGUGGAAUUCUUGGUGUAGGGGUAAAAUCCGUAGAGAUCAAGAGGAAUACUCAUUGCGAAGGCGACCUGCUGGAACAUUACUGACGCUGAUGCACGAAAGCGUGGGGAGCAAACAGGAUUAGAUACCCUGGUAGUCCACGCCCUAAACGAUGGAUGCUAGUUGUUGCCUUGCUUGUCAGGGCAGUAAUGCAGCUAACGCAUUAAGCAUCCCGCCUGGGGAGUACGGUCGCAAGAUUAAAACUCAAAGGAAUAGACGGGGACCCGCACAAGCGGUGGAGCAUGUGGUUUAAUUCGAAGAUACGCGAAGAACCUUACCUAGGCUUGACAUUGAUA
This 899-nucleotide ribosomal RNA is filed under the name uncultured bacterium. Its description in RNAcentral is "bacterial SSU rRNA". It matches the Rfam family "Bacterial small subunit ribosomal RNA", at positions 62 to 992 of the family's 1533-position model. The record is from RNAcentral.